RNAcentral lists this long non-coding RNA (211 nucleotides) under Nicotiana benthamiana. Its description in RNAcentral is "long non-coding RNA (NBEN_LNC015866)". Lineage: Eukaryota; Viridiplantae; Streptophyta; Magnoliopsida; Solanales; Solanaceae. The record is from RNAcentral.
UUGGCACCAAAUCCCAAACAUCAUUCCGUUUGAAUUGGUUAAGCUCCUCUUGCAUUUCCAAGGUCCAAAAUUCAUCCCCAAUUGCUUCGGAGAUGGUUGUUGGUUCAAUUUGAGAAACAAAAGCAGUAUGUCCUAAGGUGUUCUUAAGAGAGCUUCGGGUUCUUACCUUUUCUCCGACGUCGCCAAUACCUGUUCGAGAGGGUGAUCUUUG